GGCUCGCAGGCGGUUUCUUAAGUCUGAUGUGAAAGCCCCCGGCUCAACCGGGGAGGGUCAUUGGAAACUGGGAAACUUGAGUGCAGAAGAGGAGAGUGGAAUUCCACGUGUAGCGGUGAAAUGCGUAGAGAUGUGGAGGAACACCAGUGGCGAAGGCGACUCUCUGGUCUGUAACUGACGCUGAGGAGCGAAAGCGUGGGGAGCGAACAGGAUUAGAUACCCUGGUAGUCCACGCCGUAAACGAUGAGUGCUAAGUGUUAGGGGGUUUCCGCCCCUUAGUGCUGCAGCUAACGCAUUAAGCACUCCGCCUGGGGAGUACGGUCGCAAGACUGAAACUCAAAGGAAUU
Molecule: ribosomal RNA, 347 nt
Filed under: Bacillus pumilus
Lineage: Bacteria; Bacillati; Bacillota; Bacilli; Caryophanales; Bacillaceae
Description: bacterial SSU rRNA
Rfam family: Bacterial small subunit ribosomal RNA
Source: RNAcentral